GUGGGUAUAGCUCAGUGGUAGGGCACAUGUUGAGUGUGCAUGAGGUCAUGGGUUCAAUCCCCAGUGCCUCCA
RNAcentral lists this transfer RNA (72 nucleotides) under Camelus bactrianus (Bactrian camel). It matches the Rfam family "tRNA". Rfam says of the family: Transfer RNA (tRNA) molecules are approximately 80 nucleotides in length. Their secondary structure includes four short double-helical elements and three loops (D, anti-codon, and T loops). Further hydrogen bonds mediate the characteristic L-shaped molecular structure. tRNAs have two regions of fundamental functional importance: the anti-codon, which is responsible for specific mRNA codon recognition, and the 3' end, to which the tRNAs corresponding amino acid is attached (by aminoacyl-tRNA synthetases). tRNAs cope with the degeneracy of the genetic code in two manners: having more than one tRNA (with a specific anti-codon) for a particular amino acid; and 'wobble' base-pairing, i.e. permitting non-standard base-pairing at the 3rd anti-codon position. Lineage: Eukaryota; Metazoa; Chordata; Mammalia; Artiodactyla; Camelidae. RNAcentral also lists the same sequence under 2 other names. The record is from Rfam by way of RNAcentral.